GUAAAAAUGCUGUAUAAACUGCAUGAUGUUUGCAGGCAGUUGUAGUUUUCCUGUCCAGCCCACAGCCACUGGACUGUAGGAAGGCGAAUAUGUUGUCCAGCCCAUUGCCAUGGGACCAUUUCUGUAAUUAAGGGUGUUCUCCUGUCCAGCCCUCUGCCACAGAACUCUCUUCACGGUAUGAAAGCCCCUAAUAAAACCACAGAUCUUAUUUGCUGGCUCUGGGUCUCUUCUUCAGCCUCUUGAACCUGGUGCCUUCCCUACUGAAGGUAAUAGGGGCUCAGCACAACAGAUCACCCACACACAGGCCACCUGCCUUCAGAAACCCAAUUCAAAUGGUCAUAAGCACCAAAAGAAACAGAUUUGCUCAGGUGACUAAAAUAAUCCAGGGAAUAAUCAGAUGGAGGAAUGUGGAUGUUAUCCCCAGGACUUGAUCUCCCCUAGUCCCUGACUCUGCCUUUCCCAUGUUGCCCUCACUACCGGGCAGACCCUUUCUACCAUGUCAAGAUCACUUUGGGAAUUCCAGGCUUCAACUCCACUAGCUCAGCAAUUCUACUUGGGAGAAAAUGUCUUCCCCAGCUGUUUUAGUCACAGCUCUGACAACUCAGUCUCAGUACCUGGUUUGAGUCAUAAGGCGUCACUGACAAAAUCACAACUGUCAGGGCUUGAGAUGUGUCAUUUGUCCUAUGUAUCAAACAGCAUAAGAAGAGUGGUGUUUCCCCAGAGGAAAUUGAGAUUCUGUUAUCAGUAAAAGGGGAAUGGCUGCUCAGGAGGCAAAAAAAACUUGGGUACCCUCCACCACCAAUCUACCAAAUCUGGAUUUGAAAGGCAUAGGACAGCAGACAGUCAGGACUAAGAGCAAGUCGCACCAAGAAAGAAGAAGAAAACUGAAAGGGAAAAUCAGAAAGCCCUCCUGAGGUCCAUUUCACCCACUCAGUCAUAAAAGAGCAGAAUUAAAUUAAGGCUGCUAAAAGUAGAGAAGGCACACCAUUGACCCAAUAUGAAGCCCUGACAAGGAGAUUUGUUGGGUUUUUUUGUGAGUACCCUCCUGAGCCAGAGGUGGAGUGUCUCCUCUUGGGUAGACAACUUUAGUGUGAUUCAUGUGUUUGAAUCACACAGCCUCCGAAGGCCACGUGUCUAGAAUAGCACCAAACAAUGAAAAAUGGCUCUAGAAACAUUUAUUGUUCCUUCAGCUUUUUCUAUCUCCCAAACGUAUAUUGAGACUAAUUUAUUAAUGUUAAGUCAUACGAUAAAUUCAUUCUGGGAGGAAAAGCAUUUCCAGGGAGUAACUAUACGCUCUCAUCACUUAUAGCUUUGUCCCCGCCUCAUCAUCCAGGGUGAUGAUUUUAAUCCAGACUUCUCCAUGUACUAACUGUGGAACCCUGGGCAAAACUGGCUCUCUAUUUGCUUAUCUUUCCAAAGGGGACUAUAAUAGUAUACCCUGCAGAGGUACACAUGGCUGUUAUUACUGUUUACGCAUUUGGGCUUCAUUUGGAGACAGUCUCAGAACUGAUCUUAUAGCGUAAGAUUAUAGAAUGAGCUUAUCAUAUAAGACAUACUUGCUCAUAGUAUUCCAAGAAAGUGCAACACACCAAUGCUUAAUAUUAGGAGUUUAGAAACUAAACUAGGAAUCAGAUUACUCCUGGCUCAGCCUGGGCCCUUGAACUAACCUCCACUGCAUAUUUUGUCCUCACAGCGUCCCCACAGCAGCUAUCCAGGCUUCCUAGGAAUAACACACAAUACUCCCUAUUCUCAAGAGAGUAGCUCUUUCCCCAAAAUCUUGAUGUACUCAGUCAGCUAAGAGGUACCUUGCAUGCUUUAAAAUUCCCACCUAUUACUUAUUUUUUUAGGUGACCAGUCUCUAAGGCAGAACAAAAAUUACUUGAGCGGGGAUUUAGACAGGGAUUCCAAGAAAAAAAAAAUUAGCUAAAUUGGGCAAGCCUAAAUGAUCUUUUAGUCAUUUGUUGUUUUUUUUUUUUAG
RNAcentral lists this long non-coding RNA (1978 nucleotides) under Homo sapiens (human). Its description in RNAcentral is "HSALNT0055809". Lineage: Eukaryota; Metazoa; Chordata; Mammalia; Primates; Hominidae. The record is from RNAcentral.